GAUGAAGAACGCAGCGAAAUGCGAUAAGUAAUGUGAAUUGCAGAAUUCAGUGAAUCAUCGAAUCUUUGAACGCACAUUGCGCCCGCUGGUAUUCCGGCGGGCAUGCCUGUUCGAGCGUCAUUUCAACCAUCAAGCCCCAGGCUUGUGUUGGGGACCUGCGGCUGCCGCAGGCCCUGAAAACCAGUGGCGGGCUCGCUGUCACACCGGGCGUAGUAGAUUUUAUCUCGCUCAGGGCGUGCUGCGGGUUCCGGCCGUUAAAAAGCCUUUUUUACCCAAGGUUGACCUCGGAUCAGGUAGGAAGACCCGCUGAACUUAAGCAUAUCAAUAAGCGGAGGA
Molecule: unclassified non-coding RNA, 336 nt
Filed under: soil metagenome
Description: partial contains 5.8S ribosomal RNA, internal transcribed spacer 2, and large subunit ribosomal RNA
Rfam family: 5.8S ribosomal RNA (bases 1-120)
Source: RNAcentral